Long non-coding RNA from Candoia aspera, 234 nucleotides. RefSeq lists it as uncharacterized. The record is from RefSeq and is a predicted model, not a curated record. The transcript has 4 exons. NCBI's taxonomy places the organism in Eukaryota, Metazoa, Chordata, Lepidosauria, Squamata, Candoiidae.
CAGGGGUUCCCGGUGUACCAGGGCCACCGGGUCUGCCUGGCCUAUCUGGACCACAGGGACCACCUGGAUUGUCGAUCAAGGGUGAACCUGGAGAUCCAGGCCUCAGAGGUCCUCGCGGGAAAAGUGGGAUCAAAGGAGAGAAGGGAGGAAGAGGAGAAUCGGGGAAAGCUGGCUUACCUGGUCCAAUAGGACUGGACGGUAUUCCUGGACUUUCUGGGCCAAAAGGUGAAAAGG